GAUUAACGCUAGCGGCAGGCAUAAUACAUGCAAGUUGAACGGCAGCACAGGUAGCAAUACUGGGUGGCGAGUGGCGCACGGGUGCGUAACACGUAUGCAACCUACCCUAUACAGGCGAAUAACCUUUAGAAAUGAGGGCUAAUACGCCGUAGUAUUACAGAUGGGCAUCUAUUUGUAAUUAAAGAUUUAUCGGUAUAGGAUGGGCAUGCGUCCCAUUAGUUAGUUGGUAAGGUAACGGCUUACCAAGACGAUGAUGGGUAGGGGAUCUGAGAGGACUUACCCCCACACUGGGACUGAGACACGGACCAGACUCAUACGGGAGGCAGCAGUAAGGAAUAUUGGGCAAUGGCCGAGAGGCUGACCCAGCCAUGCCGCGUGCAGGAAGACGGCCUUAUGGGUUGUAAACUGCUUUUAUACGGGAAUAAUAGAGUGUACGCGUACAUUUAUGCAAGUAUCGUAUGAAUAAGCAUCGGCUAACUCCGUG
This 484-nucleotide ribosomal RNA is filed under the name uncultured bacterium. RNAcentral's name for it is "partial 16S ribosomal RNA". It matches the Rfam family "Bacterial small subunit ribosomal RNA", at positions 28 to 507 of the family's 1533-position model. The record is from RNAcentral.